UCGAAUCCUGCUAAGCAGACGACCCGAGAACAUGUUUAUCGCACGGGCAUCGAGGACGAUGGAAACCACGGACCGCGAGGAUUGCGUCGACCACCGGUCGCUCGUCAUGUAAACAACCAACCCCGCGCAGAAACGCGCCAAGGAAAACUUAAAAAGGAUUGUCUGCCCCCCGUCGUGCCGUAUCGGUGCGCACGGGAGGACCACRGACGCCUAAAGAAACA
Molecule: ribosomal RNA, 221 nt
Filed under: Gentiana prostrata var. ludlowii
Lineage: Eukaryota; Viridiplantae; Streptophyta; Magnoliopsida; Gentianales; Gentianaceae
Source: RNAcentral